Molecule: unclassified non-coding RNA, 344 nt
Filed under: soil metagenome
Description: partial contains 5.8S ribosomal RNA, internal transcribed spacer 2, and large subunit ribosomal RNA
Rfam family: 5.8S ribosomal RNA (bases 1-119)
Source: RNAcentral
GAUGAAGAACGUAGUGAAAUGCGAUACGUAAUGUGAAUUGCAAAUUCAGUGAAUCAUCGAGUCUUUGAACGCACAUUGCGCCCCCUGGUAUUCCGGGGGGCAUGCCUGUCCGAGCGUCAUUGCUGCCCUCAAGCACGGCUUGUGUGUUGGGCCCCGUCCUCCGAUCCCGGGGGACGGGCCCGAAAGGCAGCGGCGGCACCGCGUCCGGUCCUCGAGCGUAUGGGGCUUUGUCACCCGCUCUGUAGGCCCGGCCGGCGCUUGCCGAUCAACCCAAAUUUUUAUCCAGGUUGACCUCGGAUCAGGUAGGGAUACCCGCUGAACUUAAGCAUAUCAUAAGCGGAGGA